RNAcentral lists this ribosomal RNA (450 nucleotides) under Centipeda infelix. RNAcentral describes it as "bacterial SSU rRNA". It matches the Rfam family "Bacterial small subunit ribosomal RNA", at positions 28 to 457 of the family's 1533-position model. Lineage: Bacteria; Bacillati; Bacillota; Negativicutes; Selenomonadales; Selenomonadaceae. The record is from RNAcentral.
GACGAACGCUGGCGGCGUGCUUAACACAUGCAAGUCGAACGGAGCGAAUGAAAGCUUGCUUUUAUGAGCUUAGUGGCAAACGGGUGAGUAACACGUAGACAACCUGCCGACAGGAUGGGGACAACAUUCCGAAAGGAAUGCUAAUACCGAAUGAAGCGGAGGAGAGGCAUCUCUCUUCCGUGAAAGAUGGCCUCUAUUUAUAAGCUAUCACCUGUCGAUGGGUCUGCGUCUGAUUAGCUAGUUGGUGAGGUAACGGCUCACCAAGGCGACGAUCAGUAGCCGGUCUGAGAGGAUGAACGGCCACAUUGGGACUGAGACACGGCCCAGACUCCUACGGGAGGCAGCAGUGGGGAAUCUUCCGCAAUGGGCGCAAGCCUGACGGAGCAACGCCGCGUGAGUGAAGAAGGUCUUCGGAUCGUAAAGCUCUGUUGAUGGGGACGAACGUGCGAA